AGAGCUAAGCCACUCCAAAUCCGACGACGUUCCAGUGCUCCCAUGCAUACGAUGUUAAUCUGCUCUUCCACUCUGUCGGGAGGAACUGGCCCCAUCGUGGCUGGAAUUCUCGUCGUGCUUGCCAUCGGCGUUACUGGAGCUGUGAUUGCUGUGAUCCUGCUCAGAAGAAGACGGCGAAAACAGACCUCAGAGGCACUCCUCCAUAGAGCGGUAUACGAUGCCUCAAGUGAAAGAGCAGAAUUUUUCGAUUGAAGAAAAUUUACAUCUAUUCACUGGAAGAAAGUGUUUUCCGAUCGUCGUAUUAUACGCUUUGAAAAAAGGACUACUUAUAUUAUCAAGUGCAAAAUAUAUACGCACAAAUAAAAUGUCACUUCUCACAAUG
Molecule: long non-coding RNA, 382 nt
Organism: Rhipicephalus microplus (southern cattle tick)
Lineage: Eukaryota; Metazoa; Arthropoda; Arachnida; Ixodida; Ixodidae
Source: RefSeq, a predicted model, not a curated record